GUCGAACGGAACUGUUUUGAAAGAUUUCUUCGGAAUGAAUUUGAUUUAGUUUAGUGGCGGACGGGUGAGUAACGCGUGAGUAACCUGCCUUCAAGAGGGGGAUAACAUUCUGAAAAGAAUGCUAAUACCGCAUGACAUAUCGGAAUCACAUGGUUUUGAUAUCAAAGAUUUUAUCGCUUGAAGAUGGACUCGCGUCCGAUUAGUUAGUUGGUGAGGUAACGGCUCACCAAGACCGCGAUCGGUAGCCGGACUGAGAGGUUGAACGGCCACAUUGGGACUGAGACACGGCCCAGACUCCUACGGGAGGCAGCAGUGGGGGAUAUUGCGCAAUGGGGGCAACCCUGACGCAGCAACGCCGCGUGAAGGAUAAAGGUUUUCGGAUUGUAAACUUCUUUUAUUAAGGACGAAAAAUGACGGUACUUAAUGAAUAAGCUCCGGCUAACUACGUGCCAGCAGCCGCGGUAAUACGUAGGGAGCAAGCGUUGUCCGGAUUUACUGGGUGUAAAGGGUGCGUAGGCGGCUUUGCAAGUCAGAUGUGAAAUCUAUGGGCUCAACCCAUAAACUGCAUUUGAAACUGUAGAGCUUGAGUGAAGUAGAGGCAGGCGGAAUUCCCCGUGUAGCGGUGAAAUGCGUAGAGAUGGGGAGGAACACCAGUGGCGAAGGCGGCCUGCUGGGCUUUAACUGACGCUGAGGCACGAAAGCGUGGGUAGCAAACAGGAUUAGAUACCCUGGUAGUC
RNAcentral lists this ribosomal RNA (737 nucleotides) under uncultured bacterium. Its description in RNAcentral is "bacterial SSU rRNA". It matches the Rfam family "Bacterial small subunit ribosomal RNA", at positions 61 to 795 of the family's 1533-position model. The record is from RNAcentral.